Molecule: non-coding RNA, 94 nt
Filed under: uncultured Clostridium sp.
Lineage: Bacteria; Bacillati; Bacillota; Clostridia; Eubacteriales; Clostridiaceae
Description: Purine riboswitch
Rfam family: Purine riboswitch aptamer
About the family: Riboswitches are metabolite binding domains within certain messenger RNAs that serve as precision sensors for their corresponding targets. Allosteric rearrangement of mRNA structure is mediated by ligand binding, and this results in modulation of gene expression.
Source: RNAcentral
AAUAUAAAUAUUUUAGAUUCGUAUAAUCCCUAUAAUAUGGUUAGGGAGUUUCUACCAAGAGCCAGUAAUUCUUGAUUACGAAGAAAGUAUCUUU